GACGAACGCUGGCGGCGUGCUUAACACAUGCAAGUCGAACGCUGAACCCGCUUCGGUGGGGGAUGAGUGGCGAACGGGUGAGUAACACGGGGGCAACCUGCCCCCGGCUCUGGGAUAACUCCAAGAAAGUGGGGCUAAUACCGGUAGUGACCGCUGGCCGCAUGGUCUGGUGGUGGAAAGGGUUUCCGGCUGGGGAUGGGCCCGCGGCCUAUCAGCUUGUUGGUGGGGUAGUGGCCUACCAAGGCGACGACGGGUAGCCGGCCUGAGAGGGGGACCGGCCUCCCUGGGCCUGCGACACGGCCCAGCCUCCUACGGGAGGCAGCAGUGGGGAAUAUUGCGCAAUGGGCGGAAGCCUGACGCAGCGACGCCGCGUGGGGGAUGCCGGCCUUCGGGUUGUAAACCUCUUUCAGCAGGGACGAAGCGCUAGUGACGGUACCUGCAGAAGAAGCACCGGCCAACUACGUG
Molecule: ribosomal RNA, 465 nt
Filed under: uncultured bacterium
Lineage: Bacteria
Description: partial 16S ribosomal RNA
Rfam family: Bacterial small subunit ribosomal RNA
Source: RNAcentral